AUUGAACGCUGGCGGCAUGCUUUACACAUGCAAGUCGAACGGCAGCGCGGGCUUCGGCCUGGCGGCGCGUGGCGAACGGGUGAGUAAUGCAUCGGAACGUGCCCAGUCGUGGGGGAUAGCCCGGCGAAAGCCGGAUUAAUACCGCAUACGACCUGAGGGUGAAAGCGGGGGACCGAAAGGCCUCGCGCUAUUGGAGCGGCCGAUGUCGGAUUAGCUAGUUGGUGGGGUAAAGGCUUACCAAGGCGACGAUCCGUAGCUGGUCUGAGAGGACGACCAGCCACACUGGGACUGAGACACGGCCCAGACUCCUACGGGAGGCAGCAGUGGGGAAUUUUGGACAAUGGGGGCAACCCUGAUCCAGCCAUGCCGCGUGCGGGAAGAAGGCCUUCGGGUUGUAAACCGCUUUUGUUCGGGAAGAAAUCCUCUGGGCUAAUACCCCGGGGGGAUGACGGUACCGGAAGAAUAAGCACCGGCUAACUACGUG
RNAcentral lists this ribosomal RNA (484 nucleotides) under uncultured bacterium. RNAcentral's name for it is "partial 16S ribosomal RNA". It matches the Rfam family "Bacterial small subunit ribosomal RNA", at positions 28 to 507 of the family's 1533-position model. The record is from RNAcentral.